Molecule: non-coding RNA, 767 nt
Organism: Macaca mulatta (Rhesus monkey)
Lineage: Eukaryota; Metazoa; Chordata; Mammalia; Primates; Cercopithecidae
Source: RefSeq, a predicted model, not a curated record
UCAGCUGCCAAAAAUUAUAGAAAAACAGGGUUUGCAUCUUGGGCUAUGUGGUAUGAUCCCCACAAAUGAAGUAAAAGAAAAAACAGCAAGUCAAUCUUACCUCCUUAACUACAAGUCCUAUCUCAAAUCUAAAAUCCAGAAGGAAGAACACUGUACUAUUCCUGGGGACAAUAACACCCAUGGCAACCACAAAACAGAACACCAGCCCCUCACCAGCGGAAGCCACUUCCCAUGGGGCCUGGCACGGGAGGGCGCCCACUGAAACUGCAGCUGGAAACACAGACAGAUGGGGGGACAGCAGUCUGGCAGGUGGUCGCCAGGGCAGACCACCACAGACAGGAAGAAGCCGUGUGUUCCAGGCCCCCUGCAGCUCAUUUCAAUGUCAAUUUGCUGUGGAAACUAAAAGACUGAAAGAGAAGCCAAAUCUCUUGCCCAAAGUCAUAUGGCUGGCAAGGGGGAGAAACUGGAUAUGAAGCUGGGUGGGUGACAGGGAAAUGCGCAUGGGAGAAAUGGACCACAGAAGAGCCAGGCAAAUGAUGAACCCAAACAACGAAAAUACAAGCCAUUAAAACCAAUUAGGCAAAAGCACACUCCGCACAGCAGCAGACUCAGAGGAGAGAAGAGGAGGCCCUCCACAUUGCUCCUCAGUAGCUGCAUGAGUGUCCCCAGGGGUGUUCAGGACAACCCCAUACCUGGGAAGUGGUUGUGGAGAAAAGCUCCUUCCUCUCCUUGCCGUGGUCCUGCAGGCGCCGCUGCCGGUGCUGUGA